AUGUUCCGCCCAGAACUCACGUAUUCUUUACCAAGAUUCAUCACCAGAAAGAGGAAACUACCUGAGACCGUACCGGAGUUGAAGUCUUCGUCGGAAUCUUCGAAGGUAGAAGUUCAGGAACAUAGGGAUUUUGGACUGAGAUUUCUUCCAUCCGUGCGUGCGGCUGCAGUAGCAGCGUGUUUCGUUUGCGAUACUGCCAGUUCUUUGAAAGCUCAAACUUGA
Vicia faba (fava bean) is the source of this 222-nucleotide non-coding RNA. The record is from the annotation of a GenBank genome assembly. Lineage: Eukaryota; Viridiplantae; Streptophyta; Magnoliopsida; Fabales; Fabaceae.